This is an RNA transcript of Humulus lupulus (European hop), 1878 nucleotides long. RefSeq lists it as uncharacterized. The transcript has 7 exons. The record is from RefSeq and is a predicted model, not a curated record. Lineage: Eukaryota; Viridiplantae; Streptophyta; Magnoliopsida; Rosales; Cannabaceae.
CUCUACAUACGCUCGUAUAAUAAACCUAUACUCUUUCUCUUUCUCUCUCUAAAACGCAGAAAAAUCUCUCUCUGCUGAACCAGACCAUUUGAGCUUCGGCUUUCCUUUUUUUGUUAGGGUUAUUUUUUUUCUAUGUGAAAAAACGUCGAAUAUAUGGUGUUCUAGCAAAAAAAUCUCAGCGAUAUACAUAUAUUGUUGUGCACAUAUAUAUAUAAUAGUUCUACGCGUGGUUAGUGGCCUCGUUCAACAAUGGCUACGGCACCUGUCAAGUCUCCGCUGCACAACUUUCCUCUCACAUUCUUGAAAUGGGGCGGCGCCAAGAAUCACACUAGCGGCGGUCACCAUCGAUACCGCCGGCCAGUCUCGGCUGAGAGCUCUCCAGUCGCCGAUCAUGGCGAGCUUGACCCGGAGAGGAACGAUUCGGAGCCUGAAGCAGGUCGGACUGGCCGGGUCGGAUCGCGUACAGCUCGGAACAGAUUUGGCUUAGCGUCUUGUUCCCCAACGGAGAAGGCGCAGAAGCAGCAAUUGAGCAACGAGAGCGAUGAAGUUGUAAGAGAAGGGAAGCAGCAGCAGCAUCGAGAUGGAGAAGAAGCUGAGGCCGAGGAGACGGUUCAGAAGCCAUGGAAAUUGAGGCCGAGGAAGGUUCUCUUCUCGAAAGCUGCUUCGACUGGUGUCAAGAAUGGAGAAUUUCAGGAACCAGGGGGGACGGUUGCCGGAGGCGUUGGAGGAAGUGGUCAGAAUCAGAGUGAGAAUCAGAACCAGCAACAGCCGAAAUCGCUGAGGCUAAGGGGAUUCUCGGAGCAGCAGAGUACGGAGAAGAAAGAGAAGAGGAAGUUCUGGAUCGCGCUGUCUAGGGAAGAGAUUGAGGACGAUAUUUUUGUGAUGACUGGGUCAAGGCCUGCUCGGAGGCCGAGGAAGCGGCCCAAGAAUGUUCAGAAACAGCUUGACGCUGUUUUCCCUGGAUUGUGGUUGGUGGGUGUUACUGCUGAUGCUUACCGGAUCGCUGAGGCUCCGCCUAAGAGGUAGAUGAGUUUUAAGUCAAUUGUCACUCUUGAAGCUUGCACCGGGUGAAAGGUUGCAUAUCUGACUUUGAGACCUCAAUUGAGUAUCUCUCUUCAGAUUAGCUAGCCUCAUAUCGGUGUAAAGUCUUUGACAUCUUCUUGUAAACUAGGCACUCUUCAUAGAUACCAUAAAGUAGCUACGAAUGGGAGUUCAUAUAUUUCCAAUGCUGUUUACCUUAAAGGUUUGCACAUGUAGACAGGAAAAUGAGAAGAAAUGGUUUUGUGCAACAACAGCUGUAAAGAGUGUAGAAGCAGAUUCUGAUAGGGACAAUCACUUUUGUGGGUCUUGCCGAAGUCAAGCAGAAUAAACAAGCCAUAACAAUUGCCCUUCUCCUUCACACUCAGUUUGCAAAUCAGCUUAGCUGCUGGUUGUGUACUGCUACAAAUUUUGAUGAAAGUAGAGAACAAUCAAUCCUUUUCUCUGAUUUCCUUCAUAUUAUUCUUGAUGCCCAGGAGCCAGGAGCAAAGGCAAAAUGAAAGGGUAAGAGUCUACACCGAAUGUUGUGUGUGCUGGAGUAGGAAGAUAGAAGAUAUGUUCUACACAGACUUUGGAGAAAAUAGAAAGAACCCAUGAAGCUCCUGCAAUAUUGGGUAAAUUAAAUUUGUUUUCUUUUCCUCCUCUUGCCCUAAUGCUCCGUGCAUAUUCUUUAAUAUUAUUAAAUGUUCACUUGUGCACAAUUAAAGUCUAGAAGAAAAAUAAAUGGGCACUAUUCACUAGCCAAGAAAGAACAAGUUAAUUUAUGAAUAAAAUGUAAGCAUAUGUGGCGUCAUUUAUUAACUCGUUGAAUCAGAAAAAUGCUUAGUAUUGCUGGGUCAA